GGCGAACGGGUGAGUAAUAUAUCGGAACGAUGCCCAGCUCGUGGGNGAUAACGCAGCGAAAGCCUGUGCUAAUACCGCAUACGAUCUACGGAUGAAAGCGGGGNAUCGCAAGACCUCGCGCGAUUGGAGCGNNCNAUAUCAGAUUAGCUAGNUGGUGGGGUAAAGGCCCACCAAGGCGACGAUCUGUAGCUGGUCUGAGAGGACGACCANCCACACUGGAACUGAGACACGGUNNAGACUCCUACGGGAGGCAGCAGUGGGGAAUUUUGGACAAUGGGCGCAAGCCUGAUCCAGCAAUGCCGCGUGCAGGAUGAAGGCCUUCGGGUUGUAAACUGCUUUUGUACGGAACGAAACGGUCUCUUCUAAUAAAGGAGGCUAAUGACGGUACCGUAAGAAUAAGCACCGGCUAACUACGUGCCAGCAGCCGCGGUAAUACGUAGGGUGCGAGCGUUAAUCGGAAUUACUGGGCGUAAAGCGUGCGCAGGCGGUUAUAUAAGACAGAUGUGAAAUCCCCGGGCUCAACCUGGGACCUGCAUUUGUGACUGUAUAGCUAGAGUACGGUAGAGGGGGAUGGAAUUCCGCGUGUAGCAGUGAAAUGCGUANAUAUGCGGAGGAACACCGAUGGCGAAGGCAAUCCCCUGGACCUGUACUGACGCUCAUGCACGAAAGCGUGGGGAGCAAACAGGAUUAAAUACCCUGGUAGUCCCCGCCCUAACGAUGUCNACUGGUUGUUGGGNCNUCCCUGACUCAUANCNNAACUACGCGUGAAUUGACCCCUGGGGAGUACGGCCCNAGGUUGAAACUCNAAG
RNAcentral lists this ribosomal RNA (809 nucleotides) under Rhodoferax sp. RNAcentral describes it as "partial 16S ribosomal RNA". It matches the Rfam family "Bacterial small subunit ribosomal RNA", at positions 97 to 906 of the family's 1533-position model. Lineage: Bacteria; Pseudomonadati; Pseudomonadota; Betaproteobacteria; Burkholderiales; Comamonadaceae. The record is from RNAcentral.